Molecule: long non-coding RNA, 244 nt
Organism: Pyrus x bretschneideri (Chinese white pear)
Lineage: Eukaryota; Viridiplantae; Streptophyta; Magnoliopsida; Rosales; Rosaceae
Exons: 2
Source: RefSeq, a predicted model, not a curated record
UCUAUAAGUCUUGCUUUUAUAAGUUCUUGCUUUCCAAGAUGAGCAGUUUUCUGGCAAAGUUGGUUUCAGCUGUUGUAACGGUAUAUCUUCUUCUUGGUGUUUUUCCUGCAACUUCUUCAUCAGUAGUACUUCUUCAUGGUGCUGAGAAGGGUACUUUAUUGAGUGUUGACUGAAGAGGUGGCUUGAGAAAGAUAAUUUGGAGAAAAGAAGGUAGCUUUGGAUGUCUAAGCAAGAUUGUUAGCAA